This 1301-nucleotide ribosomal RNA is filed under the name Escherichia coli. RNAcentral describes it as "partial 23S ribosomal RNA". It matches the Rfam family "Bacterial large subunit ribosomal RNA", at positions 165 to 1511 of the family's 2925-position model. The record is from RNAcentral. Lineage: Bacteria; Pseudomonadati; Pseudomonadota; Gammaproteobacteria; Enterobacterales; Enterobacteriaceae.
CAUAGGUUAAUGAGGCGAACCGGGGGAACUGAAACAUCUAAGUACCCCGAGGAAAAGAAAUCAACCGAGAUUCCCCCAGUAGCGGCGAGCGAACGGGGAGGAGCCCAGAGCCUGAAUCAGUGUGUGUGUUAGUGGAAGCGUCUGGAAAGGCGCGCGAUACAGGGUGACAGCCCCGUACACAAAAAUGCACAUGCUGUGAGCUCGAUGAGUAGGGCGGGACACGUGGUAUCCUGUCUGAAUAUGGGGGGACCAUCCUCCAAGGCUAAAUACUCCUGACUGACCGAUAGUGAACCAGUACCGUGAGGGAAAGGCGAAAAGAACCCCGGCGAGGGGAGUGAAAAAGAACCUGAAACCGUGUACGUACAAGCAGUGGGAGCCUCUUAAUGGGGUGACUGCGUACCUUUUGUAUAAUGGGUCAGCGACUUAUAUUCUGUAGCAAGGUUAACCGAAUAGGGGAGCCGAAGGGAAACCGAGUCUUAACUGGGCGUUAAGUUGCAGGGUAUAGACCCGAAACCCGGUGAUCUAGCCAUGGGCAGGUUGAAGGUUGGGUAACACUAACUGGAGGACCGAACCGACUAAUGUUGAAAAAUUAGCGGAUGACUUGUGGCUGGGGGUGAAAGGCCAAUCAAACCGGGAGAUAGCUGGUUCUCCCCGAAAGCUAUUUAGGUAGCGCCUCGUGAAUUCAUCUCCGGGGGUAGAGCACUGUUUCGGCAAGGGGGUCAUCCCGACUUACCAACCCGAUGCAAACUGCGAAUACCGGAGAAUGUUAUCACGGGAGACACACGGCGGGUGCUAACGUCCGUCGUGAAGAGGGAAACAACCCAGACCGCCAGCUAAGGUCCCAAAGUCAUGGUUAAGUGGGAAACGAUGUGGGAAGGCCCAGACAGCCAGGAUGUUGGCUUAGAAGCAGCCAUCAUUUAAAGAAAGCGUAAUAGCUCACUGGUCGAGUCGGCCUGCGCGGAAGAUGUAACGGGGCUAAACCAUGCACCGAAGCUGCGGCAGCGACACUAUGUGUUGUUGGGUAGGGGAGCGUUCUGUAAGCCUGUGAAGGUGGCCUGUGAGGGUUGCUGGAGGUAUCAGAAGUGCGAAUGCUGACAUAAGUAACGAUAAAGCGGGUGAAAAGCCCGCUCGCCGGAAGACCAAGGGUUCCUGUCCAACGUUAAUCGGGGCAGGGUGAGUCGACCCCUAAGGCGAGGCCGAAAGGCGUAGUCGAUGGGAAACAGGUUAAUAUUCCUGUACUUGGUGUUACUGCGAAGGGGGGACGGAGAAGGCUAUGUUGGCCGGGCGACGGUUGUCCCGGU